AACGAACGUUAGCGGCGCGCUUAACACAUGCAAGUCGAGCGAGAAAGGGCUUCGGCCCCGGUAAAGCGGCGCACGGGUGAGUAACACGUGGGUAAUCUGCCCUCGAGUGGUGGAUAACUCCCCGAAAGGGGAGCUAAUACAGCAUAAGACCACGACUCUCCGGAGUUGGGGUCAAAGCGGGCCUCUCCAUGGAAGCUCGCGCUUGAGGAUGAGCCUGCGGCCCAUCAGCUUGUUGGUGGUGUAAAAGACCACCAAGGCGAAGACGGGUAGCUGGUCUGAGAGGAUGAACAGCCACACUGGAACUGAGACACGGUCCAGACUCCUACGGGAGGCAGCAGUGGGGAAUCUUGCGCAAUGGGCGAAAGCCUGACGCAGCGACGCCGCGUGAGCGAUGAAGGCCUUCGGGUUGUAAAGCUCUGUGGAGAGGGACGAAUAAGGGCUGGCGAAUACCCAGCCUGAUGACGGUACCUCUUUAGCAAGCACCGGCUAACUCUGUG
This 497-nucleotide ribosomal RNA is filed under the name uncultured bacterium. Its description in RNAcentral is "bacterial SSU rRNA". It matches the Rfam family "Bacterial small subunit ribosomal RNA", at positions 29 to 507 of the family's 1533-position model. The record is from RNAcentral.